GACGAACGCUGGCGGCGUGCCUAAUACAUGCAAGUCGAGCGGAGUUGAAGAGAUGCUUGCAUCUCUGAAACUUAGCGGCGGACGGGUGAGUAACACGUGGGUAACCUGCCUAUAAGACUGGGAUAACAUUCGGAAACGAAUGCUAAUACCGGAUACGCGAAUUGGUCGCAUGACCGAAUCGGGAAAGACGGAGCAAUCUGUCACUUAGAGAUGGACCCGCGGCGCAUUAGCUAGUUGGUGAGGUAAUGGCUCACCAAGGCGACGAUGCGUAGCCGACCUGAGAGGGUGAUCGGCACACUGGGACUGAGACACGGCCCAGACUCCUACGGGAGCAGCAGUAGGGAAUCUUCCGCAAUGGACGAAAGUCUGACGGAGCAACGCCGCGUGAGUGAUGAAGG
RNAcentral lists this ribosomal RNA (398 nucleotides) under uncultured bacterium. Its description in RNAcentral is "bacterial SSU rRNA". It matches the Rfam family "Bacterial small subunit ribosomal RNA", at positions 28 to 414 of the family's 1533-position model. The record is from RNAcentral.